GUGGGGAAUCUUCCGCAAUGGACGAAAGUCUGACGGAGCAACGCCGCGUGAGUGAUGAAGGUCUUCGGAUUGUAAAGCUCUGUUAAUCGGGACGAAAGAGCCUAGUGUGAAUAAUGCUAGGAAGUGACGGUACCGGAAUAGAAAGCCACGGCUAACUACGUGCCAGCAGCCGCGGUAAUACGUAGGUGGCAAGCGUUGUCCGGAAUUAUUUGGCGUAAAGCGCGCGCAGGCGGAUCUGCCAGUCUGUCUUAAAAGUUCGGGGCGUAACCCCGUGAUGGGAUGGAAACUACAGAUCUAGAGUAUCGGAGAGGAAAGUGGAAUUCCUAGUGUAGCGGUGAAAUGCGUAGAUAUUAGGAAGAACACCAGUGGCGAAGGCGACUUUCUGGACGAAAACUGACGCUGAGGCGCGAAAGCCAGGGGAGCGAACGGGAUUAGAAACCCGAGUAGUCC
RNAcentral lists this ribosomal RNA (450 nucleotides) under uncultured bacterium. Its description in RNAcentral is "partial 16S ribosomal RNA". It matches the Rfam family "Bacterial small subunit ribosomal RNA", at positions 354 to 796 of the family's 1533-position model. The record is from RNAcentral.